This 505-nucleotide ribosomal RNA is filed under the name Paederus daicongchaoi. Its description in RNAcentral is "partial large subunit ribosomal RNA". It matches the Rfam family "Bacterial large subunit ribosomal RNA", at positions 1889 to 2605 of the family's 2925-position model. The record is from RNAcentral. Lineage: Eukaryota; Metazoa; Arthropoda; Insecta; Coleoptera; Staphylinidae.
GGGGCUUUUAAAAUUUAAGUCUAACCUGCCCACUGAAAUUUAAUGGCCGCAGUAUUUUGACUGUGCUAAGGUAGCAUAAUAAAUAGUUUUUUAAUUGAAAGCUGGUAUGAAAGGUUGAACGAAAAAAAUUCUGUCUCUAGAUAAAAUAUAGAAUUUUAUUUUUAAGUUAAAAAGCUUAAAUAAUAGUUAAAGACGAGAAGACCCUAUAGAGUUUAAUAAUAUUAUUUGUAUAAUUUAUAGAAUUUUGAAUUAUAUUUUUUUAGGUUAUUUUAUUGGGGUGAUAGAAAAAAUUAUUAAACUUUUUCUUUAUAAAUACAUUUAUUUAUGAAUAUUUGAUCCAUUAUUUAUGAUUAUAAGAAUAAAUUACCUUAGGGAUAACAGCGUUAUUUCUUUAAAGAGUUCUAAUCGAAAAAGAAUUUUGCGACCUCGAUGUUGGAUUAAAAUUUAUAUUUGGUGUAGCAGCUAAAAUAUUAAGUCUGUUCGACUUAUAAAAUUUUACAUGAUC